GGGGGGAGAGGGGAAGGGCUUGGACUUAAUUACUUGAGAAAUAUGCCUUGUUAAUCAAAUCUCACACCGAUCAUUAAGUCCUCCCUCUAUUGUUCGAUAUGCACACUUAUUCUUUCUCUAUUUCCUUAGUUUCAUGAAAAAUGCCUCAAGAUUAAAUACUGAAACUGAAUCACAAAGCAACACUAGAGCCAAUGUAUGCUUCUUGUCCUGAAUCCUCAAGAGAAUGAAUUGUAAAAAUAUCAAAUUUUAUGAUUGGCUGGAUUAGACUGGUUCAUUCGAAAUCAAUGCUUCGUUUUGAGAGACCAAUUCAUUGAGUCUCUUUGUCUUUAUUAGUUUUUGACAUCCUUGAUGAAUUUCCAAACUUCAACAUUUCUUUUGGACAAAAAUAAUAUUGUAGGAAAAAAAAAUUAAAAGGAAUGAAUAUUGAAAUGAAAAAAUAAUAGCAAAUAUAAUAUUCAAAAAUUGACAAUUUUAAACUUAGUUAUGGAAAAUAAUAGAGAUUAAAUUUAAGAAUUAAUAGGAAAGUAGAGAACUGGAGAGUUGAGAAAAAUUGUAAAAGUAAUGUAAAUUUUAGUAGGGUUGGGGGUAUUCGCAAGAAAAACAUUUUUCAUUUUCCCAAAAUGCCCAAAAAAAGUAGUUGAUCAACUGUUAUAGAGGGCAAAAUUGACAUUUCACAAAAAAAAAGAAUAAAAGAAAAAA
RNAcentral lists this unclassified non-coding RNA (699 nucleotides) under Hevea brasiliensis (rubber tree). Lineage: Eukaryota; Viridiplantae; Streptophyta; Magnoliopsida; Malpighiales; Euphorbiaceae. The record is from RNAcentral.